RNAcentral lists this ribosomal RNA (459 nucleotides) under uncultured bacterium. RNAcentral's name for it is "partial 16S ribosomal RNA". It matches the Rfam family "Bacterial small subunit ribosomal RNA", at positions 338 to 795 of the family's 1533-position model. The record is from RNAcentral.
CCUACGAGUGGCAGCAGUGAGGAAUAUUGGUCAAUGGCCGGGAGGCUGAACCAGCCAAGUCGCGUGAGGGAAGCAGGCCCUACGGGUUGUAAACCUCUUUUGUCGGGGAGCAAAGAGAGUGACAUGUGACUCAUUGAGAGUAACCGAAGAAAAAGCAUCGUCUAACUCCGUGCCAGCAGCCGCGGUAAUACUGAGGAGGCGAGCGUUAUCCGGAUUUAUUGGGUUUAACGGGUGCGCAGGCGGAGGGGCAAGUCAGCGGUCAAAGCGCGGGGCUCAAACCCGUACUGCCGUUGAGACGGUAACCCUUGAGUGCGCGAGAAGUAUGCGGAAUGCGUGGUGUAGCAGUGAAAUGCAUAGAUAUCACGCAGAACUUCGAUUGCGAAGGCAGCAUACCGGCGCGCAACUGACGCUCAUGCACGAAAGCGUGGGUAUCGAACAGGAUUAGAUACCCGAGUAGUC